CGUGUCUCUAGUGUCAGCAGCCGCGGUAAUACGUAGGUGGCAAGCGUUGUCCGGAAUUACUGGGUGUAAAGGGAAGUGUAGGCGGGAUGUCAAGUCGAGAAGUGAAAAUUACGGGCUCAACUCGUAACCUGCUUUUGAAACUGACAUUCCUUGAGUGAAGUAGAGGCAAGCGGAAUUCCUAGUGUAGCGGUGAAAUGCGUAGAUAUUAGGAGGAACAACCAGUGGCGAAGGCGGCUUGCUGGGCUUUUACUGACGCUGAGGCUCGAAAGCGUGGGGAGCAAACAGGAUUAGAUACCCCUGGUAGUCCACGCCGUAAACGAUGAUUACUAGGUGGUGGGGGAUU
This 343-nucleotide ribosomal RNA is filed under the name uncultured bacterium. Its description in RNAcentral is "bacterial SSU rRNA". It matches the Rfam family "Bacterial small subunit ribosomal RNA", at positions 494 to 832 of the family's 1533-position model. The record is from RNAcentral.